GAUCUCUCCUGAGAAUUCAUAAUCUCAAACAAGGCUUCACUUACCUUUGCAGCCCAAUUUUUAUACCACCUGCAUGGUUCAAAAAACCCCUCCACCCAAGACUAGUUGAAAGUGGUUUCCCAGGCUGAUGAUGCCUACUGGUACCUGGCGGAAGGAGAAAAAGAUCUCUAGGGCACAGUUGUCCCACACACCUUUGGAGUUGAUGGAAAUGUUUUACAACUGUGCUGUCCAGUGUGGCAGCAGCCACCACCCUCCUGUAGCUAUAGAGCAUUUAGAAUGUGGCUAGGGAGUGAGGAACUGAUUAACUUACAGCCAAACGUGGCUGGUGUCUACUCUAUUGGACAGCGUAGCUCUAGGGAAACCUUCAUUAAUCCAGAUCUCAAUUCCCACAGGUAAAGUUAUGAGAUUAGAAACCAUUGUUAAGAAUCACAUCCACGCUCUCGGCUUUCGGCUCGGAGGGGGCGAAGGUGCAACUUUUUUCGGUCGUCCCGAAUCCGGGUUCAUCCGACACCAGCCGCCUCCACCAUGCCGCCGAAGUUCGACCCCAACGAGAUCAAAGUCGUAUACCUGAGGUGCACCGGAGGUGAAGUCGGUGCCACUUCUGCGCUGGCCCCCAAGAUCGGCCCUCUGGGUCUGUCUCCGAAAAAGGUUGGUGAUGACAUUGCCAAGGCAACGGGUGACUGGAAGGGCCUGAGGAUUACAGUGAAACUGACCAUUCAGAACAGACAGGCCCAGAUUGAGGUGGUGCCUUCUGCCUCUGCCCUGAUCAUCAAAGCCCUCAAGGAACCACCAAAAGACAGAAAGAAACAGAAAAACAUUAAACACAGUGGGAACAUCACUUUUGAUGAGAUCAUCAACAUUGCUCGACAGAUGCGGCACCGAUCCUUAGCCAGAGAACUCUCUGGAACCAUUAAAGAGAUCCUGGGGACUGCCCAGUCUGUGGGCUGUAAUGUUGAUGGCCGCCACCCUCAUGACAUCAUAGAUGACAUCAACAGUGGUGCUGUGGAAUGCCCAGCCAGUUAAGCACAAAAGAAAGUAUUUCAAUAAAGGAUCAUUUGACAACUGGUGGAAAAAAAAAA
Molecule: RNA transcript, 1079 nt
Organism: Cercocebus atys (sooty mangabey)
Lineage: Eukaryota; Metazoa; Chordata; Mammalia; Primates; Cercopithecidae
Gene name: 60S ribosomal protein L12 pseudogene
Exons: 1
Source: RefSeq, a predicted model, not a curated record